This is a long non-coding RNA of Sphaerodactylus townsendi, 375 nucleotides long. RefSeq lists it as uncharacterized. The record is from RefSeq and is a predicted model, not a curated record. NCBI's taxonomy places the organism in Eukaryota, Metazoa, Chordata, Lepidosauria, Squamata, Sphaerodactylidae. The transcript has 3 exons.
GGGUCUUGUCACCUUUUAUAAAGCACCAGAGCAAGGCUUCAGGACUGCAGAAAACCCAGAUUCCUUGCACAUAGAAAGAGUGCCUGGAAGCCCUAUCAGCUUUCUUCUGCAAUGAAGACCUGGCUCCUACUCGAUGGCACAGCUUGGCGUGUACUAUCUUGGUAGCUGGAACUUCAGCCGAUGGUGAUGACAGUAAGGACGACAGUAAGGAUGACAGUAAGGACAGCAGUAAGAACGACAGUAAGGAUGACAGUAAAGACGACAGUAAGGACGACAGCAAGGGCGACGAUGAUGCCGAUGAUGCCAAGGAUGACAAAAGAAACCAAUAUUUUUUCAAGAUACAAAACAAAGAAAAUGUGCAUCAAAUUUGCAAAC